This 253-nucleotide ribosomal RNA is filed under the name uncultured bacterium. RNAcentral's name for it is "partial 16S ribosomal RNA". It matches the Rfam family "Bacterial small subunit ribosomal RNA", at positions 524 to 776 of the family's 1533-position model. The record is from RNAcentral.
UACGUAGGGUCCGAGCGUUGUCCGGAGUUACUGGGCGUAAAGCGCGCGCAGGCGGCGGUGCUGGCCCGGCGUGAAAGCCCCCGGCUCAACCGGGGAGGGUCGUCGGGGACCGCACCGCUUGAGGGCGGUAGGGGCUGGUGGAAUGCCUGGUGUAGUGGUGAAAUGCGUAGAGAUCAGGCGGAACACCCGUGGCGAAGGCGGCCAGCUGGGCCGUCCCUGACGCUGAGGCGCGAAGGCGUGGGGAGCGAGCGGG